GGCCUGAUAGCACAAUUGGAUAGUGUACCUGCCUUAAAUGUCCACUCCGAAAAGUUGUGUGAGCAGGAGAUCCUUGUUCAAUCCGGGGUCAGGCCA
Non-coding RNA from Mycena vulgaris, 96 nucleotides. Lineage: Eukaryota; Fungi; Basidiomycota; Agaricomycetes; Agaricales; Mycenaceae. The record is from the annotation of a GenBank genome assembly.